GAGUUUGAUCGUGGCUCAGAACGAACGCUGGCGGCAUGCCUAACACAUGCAAGUCGAACGAGACCUUCGGGUCUAGUGGCGCACGGGUGCGUAACGCGUGGGAAUCUGCCCUUGGGUUCGGAAUAACUUCGGGAAACUGAAGCUAAUACCGGAUGAUGUCGUAAGACCAAAGAUUUAUCGCCCAGGGAUGAGCCCGCGUAGGAUUAGCUAGUUGGUGGGGUAAAGGCCUACCAAGGCGACGAUCCUUAGCUGGUCUGAGAGGAUGAUCAGCCACACUGGGACUGAGACACGGCCCAGACUCCUACGGGAGGCAGCAGUGGGGAAUAUUGGACAAUGGGCGAAAGCCUGAUCCAGCAAUGCCGCGUGAGUGAUGAAGGCCCUAGGGUUGUAAAGCUCUUUUACCCGGGAUGAUAAUGACAGUACCGGGAGAAUAAGCCCCGGCUAACUCCGUGCCAGCCGCCGCAGUAAC
RNAcentral lists this ribosomal RNA (469 nucleotides) under uncultured Alphaproteobacteria bacterium. RNAcentral describes it as "bacterial SSU rRNA". It matches the Rfam family "Bacterial small subunit ribosomal RNA", at positions 9 to 524 of the family's 1533-position model. Lineage: Bacteria; Pseudomonadati; Pseudomonadota; Alphaproteobacteria. The record is from RNAcentral.